AGCUCCAAUAGCGUAUAUUAAAGUUGUUGCAGUUAAAAAGCUCGUAGUUGGAUUUGUGGUUGACGCUUGGCGACCUAUCACUUAGUGUUAGUGUUUGCCGGCGUUACCAUCCUUGGGUGGAGCCUGUGUGGCAUUAGGUUGUCGUGCAGGGGAUGCCCAUCGUUUACUGUGAGAAAAUUAGAGUGUUCAAAGCAGGCUUAUGCCGUAUGAAUAUGUUAGCAUGGAAUAAUAAGAUAGGACCUUGGUACUAUUUUGUUGGUUUGCGCACCGAGGUAAUGAUUAACAGGGACAGUUGGGGGGUAUUCGUAUUCCAUUGUCAGAGGUGAAAUUCUUGGAUUUCUGGAAGACGAACUACUGCGAAAGCAUUUACCAAAGG
This 376-nucleotide ribosomal RNA is filed under the name uncultured eukaryote. RNAcentral describes it as "SSU rRNA". It matches the Rfam family "Eukaryotic small subunit ribosomal RNA", at positions 587 to 964 of the family's 1831-position model. The record is from RNAcentral.